AAAACGCGCCAAAUGAAUAUUCAGCGUCGUCGAACGUGAACCUGCUGUGCCGGUUUUCUGCGCGCUACCGCAUGGGCGUCUACCCUCACGGCGUGUGCACGCACUUCAUCUACGCGAGUGUGCCCAACCAAGUGAAUCCGGACUCGCCGCAUGACAAGAACGUGCUUUACAGCUACGACCUUGCGGCGUUCAAGAAGUUCCUGCACUUGCGAGACC
This is a long non-coding RNA of Dermacentor andersoni, 216 nucleotides long. RefSeq lists it as uncharacterized. NCBI's taxonomy places the organism in Eukaryota, Metazoa, Arthropoda, Arachnida, Ixodida, Ixodidae. The record is from RefSeq and is a predicted model, not a curated record.